RNAcentral lists this transfer RNA (82 nucleotides) under Ixodes scapularis (black-legged tick). It matches the Rfam family "tRNA". Rfam says of the family: Transfer RNA (tRNA) molecules are approximately 80 nucleotides in length. Their secondary structure includes four short double-helical elements and three loops (D, anti-codon, and T loops). Lineage: Eukaryota; Metazoa; Arthropoda; Arachnida; Ixodida; Ixodidae. The record is from Rfam by way of RNAcentral.
GCAGCUGUGACCGAGUGGUUAAGGCGAUGGACUAGAAAUCCACUGGGGUCUUCCCACACAGGUUAAAAUCCUGUCGACCGCG